Molecule: ribosomal RNA, 1545 nt
Filed under: uncultured organism
Description: bacterial SSU rRNA
Rfam family: Bacterial small subunit ribosomal RNA
Source: RNAcentral
AACGGAGAGUUUGAUCCUGGCUCAGGAUGAACGCUGGCGGCGUGCCUGACACAUGCAAGUCGAACGAACCGAGGGGCCGUUGAUCGGGUUUUGGAAGGGUUCGUCCCGGAAGAGCCUGUGAGGUUCCUUGGUUAGUGGCGAACGGGUGAGUAACACGUAGGUGACCUGCCCCGAAGAGGGGGAUAACCACUGGAAACGGUGGCUAAUACCCCAUGUGGUCCCGCAUUCGGUUGUGGGAUUAAAGGCUCCGGCGCUUCGGGAGGGGCCUGCGGCCUAUCAGCUAGUUGGUAGGGUAAUGGCCUACCAAGGCUAUGACGGGUAGCUGGUCUGAGAGGACGGUCAGCCACACUGGCACUGAGACACGGGCCAGACUCCUACGGGAGGCAGCAGUGAGGAAUAUUGCGCAAUGGGGGAAACCCUGACGCAGCAACGCCGCGUGGGCGAAGAAGGUCUUCGGAUCGUAAAGCCCUUUUCUCCCGGACGAGGAAGGACGGUACGGGAGGAAUAAGUGUCGGCUAACUACGUGCCAGCAGCCGCGGUAAAACGUAGGACGCAAGCGUUAUCCGGAUUUAUUGGGCGUAAAGGGCGUCUAGGCGGCGUCUUAAGUUGGGCGUGAAAUCUUCCGGCUCAACCGGAAGGGUGCGUUCAAUACUGGGACGCUUGAGGGCAGCAGAGGGAGGUGGAAUUCCCGGUGUAGCGGUGGAAUGCGUAGAUUUCGGGAGGAACACCAGUGGCGAAGGCGGCCUCCUGGGCUGUACCUGACGCUGAAGCGCGAAAGCGUGGGGAGCGAACGGGAUUAGAUACCCCGGUAGUCCACGCCGUAAACGAUGGAUACUAGGUGUUGGUGGUAUUGACCCCACCAGUGCCGCAGCUAACGCAUUAAGUAUCCCGCCUGGGGACUACGGCCGCAAGGCUAAAACUCAAAGGAAUUGACGGGGGCCCGCACAAGCAGCGGAGCGUGUGGUUUAAUUCGAUGCAACACGAAGAACCUUACCAGGGCUUGACAUGCGCGUGGUAGGGAACCGAAAGGGGACCGACCCUUCGGGGAGCGUGCACAGGUGCUGCAUGGCUGUCGUCAGCUCGUGCCGUGAGGUGUUGGGUUAAGUCCCGCAACGAGCGCAACCCUCGUCGCUAGUUGUACUUUUCUAGCGAGACUGCCGAGAAAACUCGGAGGAAGGUGGGGAUGACGUCAAGUCAGCAUGGCCUUUAUGUCCUGGGCUACACACACGCUACAAUGGCCGGUACAACGGGUUGCCAAGCCGCGAGGCGGAGCUAAUCCUAAAAAGCCGGUCUCAGUUGGGAUUGGAGUCUGCAACUCGACUCCAUGAACGUGGAGUUGCUAGUAACCGCAGGUCAGCAAUACUGCGGUGAAUACGUUCCCGGGCCUUGUACACACCGCCCGUCACGUCAUGGGAGUCGGCAACACCUGAAGCCGGCGGGCUAACCUCCUUCGGGAGGAAGCAGCCGUCGAAGGUGGGGCUGGCGACUGGGACGAAGUCGUAACAAGGUAGCUGUACCGGAAGGUGCGGCUGGAUCACCUCCUUU